ACAGUAGGUUGUUCCAUCGCGUUUCGCAUUAGCGGAAGGAGGAAAGUCCGGGCAACAUAGAGCACCAAACUCCGGAAAGCGGAGAUAUCCGUGAGGGUAUAGGAUACAAAGAAGAAAAUAACCGUCCAGACGCUUGUCGUCGGGAUAAGGGUGAGAAGGUGGAGUAAGAGCCCACCAGGCCGAAUGGCGACAUUCGGUGCUGUUUGUCUUUUGGGUUGCAAGACCAUGUAUACCGGCAAUUAAGAACUGCUCGUUCGAUGCUGGGGGGUGGGUCGCUUAGAUAAAUGAUGGAAAGUGCAAUUCGUUGCAUCACAGAACCCGGCUUAUAGACCUACUGUAUUU
RNAcentral lists this RNase P RNA (342 nucleotides) under Bacteroidetes bacterium GWE2_32_14. Its description in RNAcentral is "RNase P RNA component class A". It matches the Rfam family "Bacterial RNase P class A". From Rfam's summary of the family: Ribonuclease P (RNase P) is a ubiquitous endoribonuclease, found in archaea, bacteria and eukarya as well as chloroplasts and mitochondria. Its best characterised activity is the generation of mature 5'-ends of tRNAs by cleaving the 5'-leader elements of precursor-tRNAs. Cellular RNase Ps are ribonucleoproteins. Lineage: Bacteria; Pseudomonadati; Bacteroidota. RNAcentral also lists the same sequence under 1 other name. The record is from RNAcentral.